This 222-nucleotide ribosomal RNA is filed under the name uncultured bacterium. RNAcentral's name for it is "partial 16S ribosomal RNA". It matches the Rfam family "Bacterial small subunit ribosomal RNA", at positions 524 to 742 of the family's 1533-position model. The record is from RNAcentral.
UACGGAGGGUGCAAGCGUUGUCCGGAUUUAUUGGGUUUAAAGGGUGCGUAGGCGGCCCCUGUAAGUCAGUGGUGAAAUACUGCAGCUUAACUGUAGCAUUGCCAUUGAUACUGUAGGGCUUGAGUACAGAUGAGGUGGGGCGGAAUUGAUGGUGUAGCGGUGAAAUGCAUAGAUACCAUCAAGAACACCGAUUGCGAAGGCAGCUUACUAAGCUGUAACAUG